Molecule: long non-coding RNA, 473 nt
Organism: Oreochromis aureus
Lineage: Eukaryota; Metazoa; Chordata; Actinopteri; Cichliformes; Cichlidae
Exons: 3
Source: RefSeq, a predicted model, not a curated record
GAUGGAGUCGUUAUAGCUCUACAGCUUCUUAAGAUGACGGAAGAUGGACAGGAUCCGCAGGAGGUGAAACCAAGAGGAAUUUCAAGGAAUGAAUUUCAGCUCAUAUGUACAUCGAUGGCCCAAAGCAGCACGCUUGAAGGAGAUCUGAAGGUAUAACAAGAAUAUACCUGUGUGAGGAAUAAGACUGAACAACACCUUGGUCCCAAACUGCAGCUCUUUCUGCCAAAAGUAUUUUCUUUGCACAUCGAAUCAGAAGAGUUCAGCCGUUGCCUCUAGGCUGCUAAAAUGACACACAGCACAGCAUCAGAAUAUGACUUACUGAGAAGUUCAGCAAGGUGGGAUUCUGUGUGUGUGUGUGUGUGUGGGCACACGUCAUGUGCUGUACAGUGUGAGUGCCUGUAAGUGUGAGUUAGUUUUUGAAAAUUGUACAUAAGGCACACAUCACAUUCAACCCACUUCCCUAAAAUUUUCUG